UUCUGGCUCAGGACGAACGCUGGCGGCGUGCCUAAUACAUGCAAGUCGAACGGUCUUUCUAUGGAAGCUUGCUUCCACUGAGAAGAUAGUGGCGAACGGGUGAGUAACACGUGGGUAACCUGCCCAUAAGAGGGGGAUAACAUCCGGAAACGGGUGCUAAUACCGCAUAGUUUUCUUGAUCGCAUGAUCGGGAAAGGAAAGACGGCCUUUGUGCUGUCGCUUAUGGAUGGACCCGCGGCGUAUUAGUUAGUUGGUGAGGUAACGGCUCACCAAGACGAUGAUACGUAGCCGACCUGAGAGGGUGAUCGGCCACAUUGGGACUGAGACACGGCCCAAACUCCUACGGGAGGCAGCAGUAGGGAAUCUUCCGCAAUGGACGAAAGUCUGACGGAGCAACGCCGCGUGAGUGAAAGAAGGUUUUCGGAUCGUAAAACUCUGUUGUCAGAGAAGAACAAGUUGGAGAGUAACUGCUCCAGCCUUGACGGUAUCUGACCAGAAAGCCACGGCUAACUACGUGCCAGCCGCCGC
This 528-nucleotide ribosomal RNA is filed under the name uncultured bacterium. RNAcentral describes it as "bacterial SSU rRNA". It matches the Rfam family "Bacterial small subunit ribosomal RNA", at positions 17 to 518 of the family's 1533-position model. The record is from RNAcentral.